GGAGAGAUGUCCGAGCGGUUGAAGGAGCGCGCUUGGAAAGCGCGUGUAUGCCCACAAGGUGUACCGAGGGUUCGAAUCCCUCUCUCUCCGCCA
Molecule: transfer RNA, 93 nt
Filed under: bacterium
Lineage: Bacteria
Description: tRNA-Ser
Rfam family: tRNA
About the family: Transfer RNA (tRNA) molecules are approximately 80 nucleotides in length. Their secondary structure includes four short double-helical elements and three loops (D, anti-codon, and T loops). Further hydrogen bonds mediate the characteristic L-shaped molecular structure. tRNAs have two regions of fundamental functional importance: the anti-codon, which is responsible for specific mRNA codon recognition, and the 3' end, to which the tRNAs corresponding amino acid is attached (by aminoacyl-tRNA synthetases). tRNAs cope with the degeneracy of the genetic code in two manners: having more than one tRNA (with a specific anti-codon) for a particular amino acid; and 'wobble' base-pairing, i.e. permitting non-standard base-pairing at the 3rd anti-codon position.
Source: RNAcentral